AGAGGGUGAAACUCCCGUCCGCCUGGUAGAAUGAGUCUUUGUCAACGAGUCGAGUUGUUUGGGAUUGCAGCUCUAAUUUGGUGGUAAAUUCCAUUUAAAGCUAAAUAUUGGUGGGAGACCGAUAGCGUACAAGUACCGUGAGGGAAAGAUGCAAAGAACUUUGAAAAGAGAGUUAAAGAGUACCUGAAAUUGCUGAAACGGAAGCGAAGGAAACCAGCGUUUGUUGGUUCAUAUUUCCUUGGCCACUUGUGGUUUGGGCGCUGUGAGCUUGCGUGGGUUUGGGUUGGUUGAUCCCUUUGGAAGAGCGCAGCCAGAGUUGAUGUCU
This 325-nucleotide ribosomal RNA is filed under the name Pseudo-nitzschia fraudulenta. RNAcentral's name for it is "LSU rRNA". It matches the Rfam family "Eukaryotic large subunit ribosomal RNA", at positions 207 to 543 of the family's 3401-position model. Lineage: Eukaryota; Bacillariophyta; Bacillariophyceae; Bacillariales; Bacillariaceae. The record is from RNAcentral.